This 253-nucleotide ribosomal RNA is filed under the name uncultured bacterium. RNAcentral describes it as "partial 16S ribosomal RNA". It matches the Rfam family "Bacterial small subunit ribosomal RNA", at positions 524 to 776 of the family's 1533-position model. The record is from RNAcentral.
UACGUAGGGUGCAAGCGUUGUCCGGAAUUAUUGGGCGUAAAGGGCUCGUAGGCGGUCCAUCGCGUCGGGAGUGAAAAGCUGGGGCUCAACCCCAGUCCUGCUUCCGAUACGGGUGGACUAGAGGUAUGCAGGGGAGAACGGAAUUCCUGGUGUAGCGGUGAAAUGCGCAGAUAUCAGGAGGAACACCGGUGGCGAAGGCGGUUCUCUGGGCCAUUACUGACGCUGAGGAGCGAAAGCGUGGGGAGCGAACAGG